UACGGAGGGUGCAAGCGUUAAUCGGAAUUACUGGGCGUAAAGAGUGCGUAGGUGGUUGGAUAAGUUAUCUGUGAAAUCCCUGGGCUUAACCUGGGCAGGUCAGAUAAUACUGUUUAACUCGAGUAUGGGAGAGGGUAGUGGAAUUUCCGGUGUAGCGGUGAAAUGCGUAGAGAUCGGAAGGAACACCAGUGGCGAAGGCGGCUACCUGGCCUAAUACUGACACUGAGGCACGAAAGCGUGGGGAG
RNAcentral lists this ribosomal RNA (245 nucleotides) under uncultured bacterium. Its description in RNAcentral is "partial 16S ribosomal RNA". It matches the Rfam family "Bacterial small subunit ribosomal RNA", at positions 524 to 768 of the family's 1533-position model. The record is from RNAcentral.